CAGUCGCCGCGGUAAUACGGAGGUGGCUAGCGUUGUUCGGAAUUACUGGGCGUAAGGCGCACGUAGGCGGCUUGGUAAGUUAGAGGUGAAAGCCUGGAGCUCAACUCCAGAAUUGCCUUUAAGACUGCCGAGCUAGCAGGUGAGAGAGGUAAGUGGAAUUCCGAGUGUAGAGGUGAAAUUCGUAGAUAUUCGGAAGAACACCAGUGGCGAAGGCGGCUUACUGGCUCAUACUGGACGCUGAGGUGCGAAAGCGUGGGGAGCAAACAGGAUUAGAUACCCCGGUAGUCCCUGUCUCUUAUAA
RNAcentral lists this ribosomal RNA (301 nucleotides) under uncultured bacterium. Its description in RNAcentral is "partial 16S ribosomal RNA". It matches the Rfam family "Bacterial small subunit ribosomal RNA", at positions 509 to 809 of the family's 1533-position model. The record is from RNAcentral.